Molecule: ribosomal RNA, 425 nt
Filed under: uncultured bacterium
Lineage: Bacteria
Description: partial 16S ribosomal RNA
Rfam family: Bacterial small subunit ribosomal RNA
Source: RNAcentral
GUGGGGAAUCUUGCGCAAUGGGCGAAAGCCUGACGCAGCCAUGCCGCGUGAAUGAUGAAGGUCUUAGGAUUGUAAAAUUCUUUCACCGGGGACGAUAAUGACGGUACCCGGAGAAGAAGCUCCGGCUAACUUCGUGCCAGCAGCCGCGGUAAUACGAAGGGGGCUAGCGUUGCUCGGAAUUACUGGGCGUAAAGGGCGCGUAGGCGGACAGCUUAGUCAGAGGUGAGAGCCCAGGGCUCAACCUUGGAAUUGCCUUUGAUACUGGCUGUCUUGAGUUUGUGAGAGGUGAGUGGAACUCCGAGUGUAGAGGUGAAAUUCGUAGAUAUUCGGAAGAACACCAGUGGCGAAGGCGACUCACUGGCCCAAUACUGACGCUGAGGCGCGAAAGCGUGGGGAGCAAACAGGAUUAGAUACCCGAGUAGUCC